GCCGAGCUUGGUAACGCUUGCUUGUGACCUCUGUGGGGGCUUGAUGGAACAGGGGGCUGGCUUGCAGAAUCAGAUCUGGAGUUGGUCCAGAUCUGGCUUGCCCGUUCCAAGCUAAGAGCUGAACCGAGGGGCUUGAGUGAAAACAUUGAGUCUCGUGGUUCCUAAAGUGGAGUGUCACAGAGCAGCGAAGACCUCCCUCUCUUAGCAGUGGAAGGAUAACAGGCUUGAUCCUCUCUAAUCUAACAUGGUUCUGUGAGCUGAUCCUAACUGGACCAUCAUCUUU
RNAcentral lists this signal recognition particle RNA (283 nucleotides) under Gossypium hirsutum (cotton). RNAcentral describes it as "Plant signal recognition particle RNA". It matches the Rfam family "Plant signal recognition particle RNA". Lineage: Eukaryota; Viridiplantae; Streptophyta; Magnoliopsida; Malvales; Malvaceae. The record is from Rfam by way of RNAcentral.